This 363-nucleotide ribosomal RNA is filed under the name Triticum aestivum (bread wheat). Its description in RNAcentral is "partial small subunit ribosomal RNA". The record is from RNAcentral. Lineage: Eukaryota; Viridiplantae; Streptophyta; Magnoliopsida; Poales; Poaceae.
AUGGACAGAGGGUCGCCAUACUCAAGAGCUCGUUCCUCCAAGUACAAGGACCCAGAGAUAUCAUCCGGUGAAGAAGAGGAAGACUUAGAUUUAGAUCUGACCCUGAACAUAGAAGAUGACUACAAAGACGAGGUUAAACCCAUGCCCGGCUCACCUCCAACAGAUGUGGUAGACUCACCUGAUGAAGACGAGAAGAGGGCUUGGCACAAUGAGGAGAGGAGAAGAAAGAUAGAAGAGAAAAUAAAGGAGGCAUUGGAGAGGCGGAAGAAGAGGAAGCAGGAGCAAGAGAGAAAGAAAGAGGAUGAAAAAAGGGUACAAAAGCGCAUCGCAGUGGCUGACAGUAUUGCAAUGGCGCUGCAUUGA